This is a non-coding RNA of Balearica pavonina (black crowned-crane), 133 nucleotides long. The record is from Rfam. Lineage: Eukaryota; Metazoa; Chordata; Aves; Gruiformes; Gruidae.
GCAUCUGAAUCUUUCCCACUCCUCGUGAUAAAGUGCUGGACUGGGGACACAUGAUGCAAGAGGAAAGCAGAGGAAAUCCAGACAAGCUCCCUGUCACCACAGUGGGACUUGUCUCUACGCCUUUGCAACAUUU